CCUACGGGUGGCAGCAGUGGGGAAUAUUGCACAAUGGGGGAAACCCUGAUGCAGCGACGCCGCGUGAGUGAAGAAGUAAUUCGUUACGUAAAGCUCUAUCAGCAGGGAAGAAAAUGACGUUACCUGAUUAAGAAGCCCCGGAUAACUACGGGCCAGCAGCCGCGGUAAUACGGAGGGGGCAAGCGUUAUCCGGAUUUACUGGGUGGAAAGGGAGCGUAGACGGUUCGCCAAGUCUGGAGUGAAAUGCCGCAGCUUAACUGCGGAACUGCUUUGGAAACUGGCGAACUAGAGUGCGUGAGGGGUAAGCGGAAUUCCUGGUGUAGCGGUGAAAUGCGUAGAUAUUAGGAGGAACACCGGUGGCGAAGGCGGCUUACUGGAACGUAACUGACGUUGAGGCGCGAAAGCGUGGGGAGCAAACAGGAUUAGAUACCCGUGUAGUC
Molecule: ribosomal RNA, 440 nt
Filed under: uncultured bacterium
Lineage: Bacteria
Description: partial 16S ribosomal RNA
Rfam family: Bacterial small subunit ribosomal RNA
Source: RNAcentral